UAGAAAUAAAUUAUUUAAGUAACGAAUAUUUAUUUUUAUACGUUUUAAAUAUUUCAACGAUUUAUGAAAUUAAAAUAAGUUUAGAAUUUUAUGUUGAAAAGAAAUUGAAUUACGAAAACCGUUUGAAUUUUGAAAACAAUCCUAAUUGGUUUUGGAUUCAAACACUUAAACUCAACCUUAGUUCUAGCCCAAGUUGAUAAAGCCCAAAUAAUAAGACCCAAAACACUUUACUCCUUUCCUCUCUUUCAAUGUUACGUAAAAGCAAAAACAACAAAAACUUCUCUGCUUCACUUUCACGUGAACCAUAACCCUUAACCUCUUCCCCCUUUGCUCAGCCGCCAGCCGGCAGCCACGCUGGACCACCGUCACUACACCGACCUCCUGCCACCAUCCCCUCCGCCGUCGCGCACGCAACCACCACCUGUACCACCACCUGCUCCCGCCGACUUCCCAUCGCCACAACCCAGCCGUCGACCAACCUCCUCCCUUCUCCUUUACAUACACAAGAAAUCUCCCCUCCUAUUUUCUUUGUUGCUCCGCACGCAGCUACCAGUCGUGCUGCACCACCCGUCGCGCCACCAAGAGUGUUGAACCACCGACGUACCCACCGUCUGCUGCCGCCACUGUCGCCGGCCAGCAGCUUCCUUCUUCCUCACUUUUGGUGGAGAAUUCUCUUUAGGCAACUUUUGAAAGUGUUAAGGUGACGUAUCAGUUUGUUUACACAAGUCUCUAAGGAUCAAUAAGCGUUGCCCAUCUACAGGUUUGAAGAUGAUGCAUCAUUGGGACGGGAUUAGAGAGCUUGUAGUUCUAUUCGUUUAAUUAAGUGAUUUAAUUUGUUAACUUGGUUUUGAAAUUUGUCGUACUAUUCGUAUUUCCUUAAUUCAGUUAAUUGGUUUGGACCUAAUAUGUAAUAGAUUAUUUAUGAACCUAAAAGUUAGUUUCAUGUUUUCCGCUGCAAAAUUCUGAAUAAGCCGUAACGUUUUCACACGGGCGAUAAUACUUUGAUAAUUCCCUACAGUUAUAUUUAA
This is a long non-coding RNA of Spinacia oleracea (spinach), 1028 nucleotides long. RefSeq lists it as uncharacterized. Lineage: Eukaryota; Viridiplantae; Streptophyta; Magnoliopsida; Caryophyllales; Amaranthaceae. The record is from RefSeq and is a predicted model, not a curated record. The transcript is spliced from 4 exons.